AGAGUUUGAUCCUGGCUCAGGAUGAACGCUGGCGGCGUGCUUAACACAUGCAAGUCGAACGAAGCACUUAAAUGGAUUUCCUUCGGGGAUGAAGCUUUUGUGACUGAGUGGCGGACGGGUGAGUAACGCGUGGGUAACCUGCCUCAUACAGGGGGAUAACAGUUGGAAACGACUGCUAAUACCGCAUAAGCGCACAACUUCGCAUGAAGUGGUGUGAAAAACUCCGGUGGUAUGAGAUGGACCCGCGUUGGAUUAGCUAGUUGGCGGGGCAACGGCCCACCAAGGCGACGAUCCAUAGCCGACCUGAGAGGGUGACCGGCCACAUUGGGACUGAGACACGGCCCAAACUCCUACGGGAGGCAGCAGUGGGGAAUAUUGCACAAUGGGCGAAAGCCUGAUGCAGCGACGCCGCGUGAACGAAGAAGUAUUUCGGUAUGUAAAGUUCUAUCAGCAGGGAAGAAGAAUGACGGUACCUGACUAAGAAGCACCGGCUAAAUACGUGCCAGCAGCCGCGGUAAUACGUAUGGUGCAAGCGUUAUCCGGAUUUACUGGGUGUAAAGGGAGCGCAGGCGGCGCGGCAAGUCUGAUGUGAAAGCCCGGGGCUCAACCCCGGUACUGCAUUGGAAACUGUCGUGCUAGAGUGUCGGAGGGGUAAGCGGAAUUCCUAGUGUAGCGGUGAAAUGCGUAGAUAUUAGGAGGAACACCAGUGGCGAAGACGUCUACUGUAUGACGAGUGACGGUGAGGGUCGAAAGCCUGGUGAGCCAACAGGAUUAGAUACUCUGCUAGUCCACGCCGUGAACGAUGCAUAGUAGGUCAUGGGGGACAUGGUUCUUCGGUGCCGUUGCAAACACAGUAAGUAUUCCACCUGGGGAGUACGUUCGCAAGUAUGACACUCAAAGGAAUAGACGGGGACCCGCACAAUCGGUGGAGCAUAUGGUUAAUUCGAAGCAACGCGAAGAACCUUAACAAGUCUUGACAUCUCGAUGACCAUUCUGUAACAGGAAAUUUUGUUCGGAACAUCGGUGACAGAUGGUGCAUGGUUGUCGUCAGCUCGAGUCGUGAGAUGUUGGCAUAAGUCCCGCAACGAGUGCAACCCUUAUCUUUAGUAGCCAGCAUUUCGGAUGGGCACUGUAGAGAGACUGACAGGGAUAACCUGGAGGAAGCCGGGGAAGACGUCAGAUCAUCAUGCCCCCUAUGAAUUGGGAUACACACGUGAUACAAUGGCGUCAACAAAGGGAGGCAGAUCUGCGAGGCCGAGCAAAUGUCUAAAAUAACGUUACGAUUCGGAUUGUAAUUCGCUAAUAGAAUACAUGAAGCUGGAAUCGAUAGUAAUCGCAAAUCAGAAUGAUGCGCAGAAUACGUUC
RNAcentral lists this ribosomal RNA (1365 nucleotides) under uncultured bacterium. RNAcentral describes it as "16S ribosomal RNA". It matches the Rfam family "Bacterial small subunit ribosomal RNA", at positions 8 to 1373 of the family's 1533-position model. The record is from RNAcentral.